AGCGAACGCUGGCGGCAGGCCUAACACAUGCAAGUCGAACGAACCUUUCGGGGUUAGUGGCGGACGGGUGAGUAACACGUGGGAACGUGCCUUUAGGUUCGGAAUAACUCAGGGAAACUUGUGCUAAUACCGAAUGUGCCCUUCGGGGGAAAGAUUUAUCGCCUUUAGAGCGGCCCGCGUCUGAUUAGCUAGUUGGUUGAGGUAAUGGCUCACCAAGGCGACGAUCAGUAGCUGGUCUGAGAGGAUGAUCAGCCACAUUGGGACUGAGACAAGGCCCAAACUCCUACGGGAGGCAGCAGUGGGGAAUCUUGCGCAAUGGGCGAAAGCCUGACGCAGCCAUGCCGCGUGAAUGAUGAAGGUCUUAGGAUUGUAAAAUUCUUUCACCGGGGACGAUAAUGACGGUACCCGGAGAAGAAGCCCCGGCUAACUUCGUG
Molecule: ribosomal RNA, 434 nt
Filed under: uncultured bacterium
Lineage: Bacteria
Description: partial 16S ribosomal RNA
Rfam family: Bacterial small subunit ribosomal RNA
Source: RNAcentral